RNAcentral lists this ribosomal RNA (500 nucleotides) under uncultured Glomeromycotina. RNAcentral's name for it is "partial small subunit ribosomal RNA". It matches the Rfam family "Eukaryotic small subunit ribosomal RNA", at positions 591 to 1092 of the family's 1831-position model. Lineage: Eukaryota; Fungi; Glomeromycota. The record is from RNAcentral.
CCAAUAGCGUAUAUUAAAGUUGUUGCAGUUAAAAAGCUCGUAGUUGAAUUUCGGGGUCAGCAGGUUGGUCGUGCCAUUGGUAUGCACUGGCUUCGCUGAUUCCUCCUUUCUGAAGAACUGUAAUGUCAUUAAUUUGGUGUUGCAGGGAAACAGGACUGUUACUUUGAAAAAAUUAGAGUGUUUAAAGCAAGCUAACGCUUGAAUACAUUAGCAUGGAAUAAUGAAAUAGGACGUUUGAUCCUAUUUUGUUGGUUUCUAGGAUUGACGUAAUGAUUAAUAGGGAUAGUUGGGGGCAUUAGUAUUCAAUUGUCAGAGGUGAAAUUCUUGGAUUUAUUGAAGACUAACUACUGCGAAAGCAUUUGCCAAGGAUGUUUUCAUUAAUCAAGAACGAAAGUUAGGGGAUCGAAGACGAUCAGAUACCGUCGUAGUCUUAACCAUAAACUAUGCCGACUAGGGAUCGGAUGAUGUUAAUUCUCUAAUGACUCAUUCGGCGCCUUACG